UUCUUCCUAGACCGUGGGAACGGAAAUCAAAUGCACACCAGAAUAUUUGAGUUGCCUUGAUGAAACAAAAUGCAGGAGAGGGACCAAAACAGCUUCCGGAAUGCCAAAGUGGAUGCCAGUCUGAUGGACUCAUUGGAUUCAAUGAUAAACACAAAUGUCGAGCUAACUUAUUGGAUUAUAGCCAUCUUCUGGCAAGAUCAUGCCUCU
This 207-nucleotide long non-coding RNA is filed under the name Elaeis guineensis (African oil palm). RNAcentral's name for it is "long non-coding RNA (EGUI_LNC015992)". The record is from RNAcentral. Lineage: Eukaryota; Viridiplantae; Streptophyta; Magnoliopsida; Arecales; Arecaceae.